Nicotiana attenuata is the source of this 1428-nucleotide long non-coding RNA. RefSeq lists it as uncharacterized. NCBI's taxonomy places the organism in Eukaryota, Viridiplantae, Streptophyta, Magnoliopsida, Solanales, Solanaceae. The transcript is spliced from 3 exons. The record is from RefSeq and is a predicted model, not a curated record.
CAUAGGGUGACACGUUUCACUUCUAUUUAAAUCUGAACCCAUGUUACUAAUCUAACUAUCUUUUUUUACACUUUAUUACAACCUUUGCGAAAACAGAACCGGAAAAAAAGAAGACUAAACGGCCUUCUUUUAAGUUUUAACAUUCUCAACUGUUGCAGAUUGCUGGGUUUGUAUGGUUUAGACAGGACACAGUAGUAUUUAAUUGCUGCAUACAACAGACCACUCCCUUCUCCGCACGGGAGCUUAGCGCAUCGGGGUUUGCAGCAGUUAAAAUCUGUGAAAGUUGUAUCUAUCUAACUGCAGUCAGAUGGAAGAUGUUCUCCCUCUGUGUGACCCUCCCCGCAGCCUGUACUUCGACAUUGCAACCGUUACCUGUCAGAAGGGUAGGCAGAGCUUGAAGACUGUGGUUUCCAUUUUCAAUAAGAUUAAGAGGGUGUUUCCAGAUGCAGACCAUGUUCCAUCGACCGGUGGUAUUUUGACAUGCUACAAUAGCAAAGAUAUUCACUAAACAUCCUGGUUAACCAUGCUCAGAGCUUUAUACGGUAUUUUUCUAGCUUGGAUGGCAGAUGAAUGCCAAAAUUUCUUUGCUGAUACUUUGGAGACAAGAAGUUGCUAUCUUUAGAGUUUGUAGUGGUGAUUUUCUUGGUGUAAAGUUGCCCUUUGUGCUUGUUCAUUGUGUUGGUGUGCUCGGUUUUGUGUUUUGGUAACUUCCUUUGAGAUGCUGAAUAUGUUUUUCUCGUGUUUCUUUCAUGGCUUCUCAGAGAGCGUAAUGACAUAUGGUGGAUUCUUUUUAGUAACAUUCCCUUGCUCUGCAUGAUUGCUGCAUUCUUCAAAUUAACGGGUGAUCCAAAAGUUUACACGAUCUUCCUUAUUCUCAACAUAAUGUUCAUACCGUGUGGCAGCAUUAUUCAUACUGUUGCGCUGCUCACUGUUGUUUAUUGGCAUCGCGACAUGCCUUUUCAGUUAAUUGGAGCCAAGGUGAAAUUUAUGAUUGAGGUCAUUCCUAUGAUAACUGCAGCAGCCUUGCAUCACUUUUUGGAGUUCAAUUACGGGUAUCUCAAUCUAGUACUAUGCUGCACCACAUAUUUUUAUACCUAUGCCCACUUCCUUCACGUAGCAUAUGAUAUUGGAGGAAUAGACGUAUUGGUGGGAUUAGUAAUGCAGGUUGUUGGUUACAUGUUGAACGUAGAAUUGUUAGUUAGAGCUUUGGCUUUGAGCUUCUGCUUUGGUUUAUCUUUCUAUAGAUACAUGACAUAUUGUGCUCCUGAAUUACCUGCACAUCAUAAAAAGGAGUUGGAGCAGUUGCCUUGCUGAUAUAAAGGAGUUUGUUAGAGGGCUAAUUUCGUCAUGUGAUGAGUCUUUGAUUCACACAUUUAUUUUAACUUUUUCUUAUAAUACGUAGAUAGAGACCUGAACUUAAACAGUCAA